CCCAGCGUUGAAAUAAGUUUUUUGAUCUCUUUGCCUUCUUCAGACGUUGGAACAUCAGCCGAUAAAAGUUCCAGAAAUCCUAAACGCCGAUCAUCUCAACAUUGCACUCAGAUGAUGCUCUCUGUUCCUAUUUCUUGCCUUUUCAAAUACUGUAAUAAACAUAAUAGAUAAUGAUUACGAGAGAUAAAAUCGCCCUCAGUCUCCGAACCUACAGCAAAAGCGAGUUCAAUCACCCAAGGAUGAAACUCCAUCGCUCCAAUUGAGUCCGGAAGAGGCUGGAAAAGGAGCAAGGCCCAGCUUUCCCACGGUGAAGCUGAAGGAAACGGUGUAAAGGAGAAAAUGAUUAAGAAAUAAAAAAUGGAAGAUGAAGCUGAACACGUGGCAUUGCAAAGAAAAUGGGACCGAAGAUUUUACAUGAUGCCUAGAUUGAGGGUGAGACAUCAUAUUUGAUGUCUGACUUUGGAUCGAACACUUUUAACUAAUAAACAGUGAUGAGCAUCUAGAUCUUAUUGACGACUAAAGUCAUCGACAGAAUUGGUAAAUUUUAAGCUAGAUUUGCUACUAAACGGUGAUCUUUAAUAUUUUUUAAGGGUCGAAAUUAGGAUACUAUUUUCUGCAACCUUACACCAACUUGACAGUUUUUUUGCGUUUCAGCUGGAGUUACACUUUGUCGUGUACAUAGAUGGCUGAGCUGAAACGCAAAAAAACUGAUUGACCUAAACCAGUUGAUGAUAUCUCUGCACUUGAGAAGUUUCUUCAGGAACAAAUCAAAGUCGGCGGCAAACCCGGAGCUCUUGGUGACUCUGUUCCAUUACGCGAGACAAAGGCAAGAUCACGUUAACGUCACCACCGAGUUCAACUUCUCCAAACGUUAACAUGAUGUUCAUUUCGAGUUAAUUCAAGUAUCUGACCAGAAAGUUAUUGAGAAAGUAAAAUUUCCGUGAUUGGCUUUCCGUGAUUGCGUUGAACAAAGACAAGGAUCGUUUUCUUGCAGUGAUCAGGAACAAGUGCAGAACGUUCUUUCUCUGUUUACUUAAAAGAAUAAGCUAGAUCUGUUUGAGAAGUUGCAGAAGAAAAAAAAGUUUUCCAUGAUGCAUAAAGAGAGAAGAGCAGCAACUACUAGCUUACCAAUCUCCAUGUAUUGUCACAAGAACUAUAAAAUCAGCGCAGUCUAGGACGCUUGCUUGGUUCCGUAAGCGGAUGUUAGUCUCAGGUUCCGGCCCUGUAGGGAUUGAUAUGCAACCAGUUGGGGUAGCCAUUUUUGUAGAGUUACUGCUACAUAAAUUGUGAGGCAAGCGGUUGAAGAGCUGCUCUUCAUCUUUGACUCAGUGUUUGUCAUGGAGAAUGAAAACUCAUGUUUAGUUGGAUGUGGUGAGUCUCUGGUUGCUUCAGUCUUAUGUUGAGAGGAAGCAUUGGUCUGAGUUUUGUUUGUUUCACAUUUUUUACUUUACUUUAAAUAUUAUCUUUGGCUGAUUGAAUAAAGUGUAUAAAAGUAUCAUAUAACAUUAAUUUCUGGUUUGAGGUGAAAAUAUAAUAGAAAACUUAUGGA
Molecule: long non-coding RNA, 1549 nt
Organism: Raphanus sativus (radish)
Lineage: Eukaryota; Viridiplantae; Streptophyta; Magnoliopsida; Brassicales; Brassicaceae
Exons: 4
Source: RefSeq, a predicted model, not a curated record